Molecule: transfer RNA, 66 nt
Filed under: Dolichosciara megumiae
Lineage: Eukaryota; Metazoa; Arthropoda; Insecta; Diptera; Sciaridae
Description: tRNA-Phe
Source: RNAcentral
AUUUAAAUAGCUUAUAUUUAGAGUAUAAUAUUGAAGCUAUUAUGGAAAUAAAUCUAUUUUUAAAUA